ACAAACUUGGUCAUUUAGAGGAAGUAAAAGUCGUAACAAGGUUUCCGUAGGUGAACCUGCGGAAGGAUCAUUAUUGAAAUUAUAGCAGCCAAAGGGGGAUGGGUUAUAGCCUGAUUGCUGAUCCUUUGGGAUAUGUGCACGGCUUGACCUAUGCUCUUUGCUUGCUUUCUUAUCUCUUUCAACGCAAUGUGCACUUUUUGUAGUCCAAAUGAUUCUUUGGUCUAUGUCAACCCAUUUAAAUAUAUACACCUUGAAUGUUUAAUGAUAUUGGUAGAAGCAAAUGCUUCGAAAAAUACAUACAACUUUCAACAACGGAUCUCUUGGCUCUCGCAUCGAUGAAGAACGCAGC
Molecule: unclassified non-coding RNA, 349 nt
Filed under: uncultured fungus
Lineage: Eukaryota; Fungi
Description: partial contains small subunit ribosomal RNA, internal transcribed spacer 1, and 5.8S ribosomal RNA
Rfam family: Eukaryotic small subunit ribosomal RNA (bases 1-73)
Source: RNAcentral